UACAGGCUGCUCGGGGGACGGUUAGCCCCUUCCUGGUAAGGAAGGGGGUGGUAGGAUGACUGUAUUUGAAGCAUUGUCAUUUGCUGUUGCAUUUGCCACGCUUAUGGUAUUGGUCACGACCAACAGAAAAUAGCCGCCCCUCCCCAAGGUGUACGGCUAUUUCUGAAUAGUUUGUAACAUAUGGGCUAACCGUUUCCCGGUUAGACAACCUGUAGAGGCUGGCGUGUUAGAGCACGUCAG
RNAcentral lists this small RNA (240 nucleotides) under Anaerospora hongkongensis. Its description in RNAcentral is "BsrG". The record is from RNAcentral. Lineage: Bacteria; Bacillati; Bacillota; Negativicutes; Selenomonadales; Sporomusaceae.